This is a non-coding RNA of Tupaia belangeri chinensis (Chinese tree shrew), 609 nucleotides long. The record is from the annotation of a RefSeq genome assembly. NCBI's taxonomy places the organism in Eukaryota, Metazoa, Chordata, Mammalia, Scandentia, Tupaiidae.
CUGCUCAGCAGGGAGCCACCCACAGCCACAGGAGGAAGGAGGACAUUUGCAUGAGGAGCCCCCCUCCCUCAGGAUAAGAGAGGCCUGGGGGCCCUCCCAGCUGUGGGCUCAGAGGCAGAGCUCUGGGGUGUCUCCACCAUGGCCUGGACCCCUCUCCUGCUCCCCCUCCUCACUCUCUGCACAGGCUCUGUGGCUUCCUCUGCACUGACUCAGCCGCCUUCAGUGUCUGUAGCCCUGGGACAGACAGCCAGGAUCACCUGCCAGGGAGGAAGCUUAGGAAUACUUUCUGCAGACUGGUACCAGCAGAAGCCAGACCAGAGCCCUGCACUGCUCCUCUAUGGUGAUAGCAACCGAGGCUCAGGGGUCUCUGAUCGUUUCUCCGGCUCCCGCUCAGGUGGAACGGCCACCCUGACCAUCACUGGGGCCCAGGCUGAGGACGAGGCUGACUAUUUCUGUCUGUCUUUGGACAGCAGUGAUUACACACCCACAGUCAGCAUCUGCUCCUUCCUCAAUGCCUCCUCCCUCCUUCCAAGCUGGCCUAGGCCUGCAGGUCUCCAUGGAGAGUUAACUUCAGGGAAACCAUGUGGGAUCCAGCUGUCCCCACCAUGA